This 599-nucleotide ribosomal RNA is filed under the name uncultured marine bacterium. RNAcentral's name for it is "bacterial SSU rRNA". It matches the Rfam family "Bacterial small subunit ribosomal RNA", at positions 880 to 1501 of the family's 1533-position model. The record is from RNAcentral.
AUACGCUGCGCAGUGAAAUCUAGGUUUUUGGGCGGGCCCCCACCGCGGAGAUGUGGUUUUUUCUUGCGCGCGAAAAACAUUACCACGGGUUGAUAUCAUUUCAAAACUUUUUGAAAGAAGACUCUUCUUCUGCAUGAAAUGACAGGAGGGGGAUGGCUGUCUUCCGCUCGCGUUGUGAAAUGUCAAGUUAAGUCUUGCCCCCCAACACCCCAUGUUUCUACCCUUUUUGCCCAGCGCUUAAAACAGAAAGCCGCUCUACACCGCAGGAAGGUGUGGAUGAUGUCAAGUCAGCAUGCCCCUUAUAUCUUGGGCUUCACACGUACUACAAUGGUAGGGACAAUGAGUCGCAAACCUGCGAAGGCUACCCAAUCUCAAAAACCCUAUCUCAGUUCGGAUUGUACUCUGCACUCGAGUGCAUGAAGGUGGAAUCGCUAGUAAUCGCUGGUCAGCAUACAGCGGUGAAUACGUUCCCGGGUCUUGUACACACUGCCCGUCACACCAUGGAAGUCGAUCCUUCCCUAAGUCGUUACUCGAACCUUUUAGGACGAGGAUGCCGAAGGCAGGGUUGGUGACUAUGGUGAAGAUGUAACAAGGUAACC